UUGUUAGUGGCAGACGGGUGAGUAAUGCGUAGGAAUCUACCUAGUAGUAUGGAAUAGCCAUUAGAAAUGAUGGGUAAUACUGUAUAAUCCCUGCGGGGGAAAGAUUUAUCGCUAUUAGAUGAGCCUACGUUAGAUUAGCUAGUUGGUAAGGUAAUGGCUUACCAAGGCUAUGAUCUAUAGCUGGUCUGAGAGGACGAUCAGCCACACUGGAACUGAGAUACGGUCCAGACUCCUACGGGAGGCAGCAGUGGGGAAUAUUGGACAAUGGGCGAAAGCCUGAUCCAGCUAUGCCGCGUGAGUGAAGAAGGCCUUCGGGUUGUAAAGCUCUUUCAAUAGGGAAGAUAAUGACGGUACCUAUA
Molecule: ribosomal RNA, 359 nt
Filed under: Ehrlichia ewingii
Lineage: Bacteria; Pseudomonadati; Pseudomonadota; Alphaproteobacteria; Rickettsiales; Anaplasmataceae
Description: bacterial SSU rRNA
Rfam family: Bacterial small subunit ribosomal RNA
Source: RNAcentral